UACGGAGGGUGCAAGCGUUGUUCGGAAUUAUUGGGCGUAAAGGGCAGGUAGGUGGUCCCAAAAGUCUACUGUGAAAUCCCCGGGCUUAACUCGGGAAGUGCGGUAGAUACUCUGGGACUAGAGUACUGGAGGGGUUCGUGGAAUUCCCGGUGUAGCGGUGAAAUGCGUAGAUAUCAGGAGGAACACCGGUGGCGAAGGCGGCUCACUGGUCCGGUACUGACGCUGAGGUGCGAAAGCGUGGGGAGCAAACAGG
This 253-nucleotide ribosomal RNA is filed under the name uncultured bacterium. Its description in RNAcentral is "partial 16S ribosomal RNA". It matches the Rfam family "Bacterial small subunit ribosomal RNA", at positions 524 to 776 of the family's 1533-position model. The record is from RNAcentral.